UACGGAGGGUGCGAGCGUUGUUCGGAAUCACUGGGCUUAAAGCGCGUGUAGGCGGGAUGGAAGGUGCUUUGUGAAAGCCCCCGGCUCAACCGGGGAAUUGCUUGGCAAACCGACAUCCUUGAGGCAGGUAGAGGUGAGUGGAACGACUGGUGGAGCGGUGAAAUGCGUAGAUAUCAGUUGGAACGCCUGAGGCGAAAGCGGCUCACUGGACCUGUCCUGACGCUCAGACGCGAAAGCGUGGGUAGCAAACAGG
This 253-nucleotide ribosomal RNA is filed under the name uncultured prokaryote. Its description in RNAcentral is "partial 16S ribosomal RNA". It matches the Rfam family "Bacterial small subunit ribosomal RNA", at positions 524 to 776 of the family's 1533-position model. The record is from RNAcentral.